AACGAACGCUGGCGGCAUGCCUAACACAUGCAAGUCGAACGAGACCUUCGGGUCUAGUUGCGCACGGGUGCGUAACGCGUGGGAACCUGCCCUUAGGUUCGGUAUAACUCCCCGAAAGGGGUGCUAAUACCGGAUAAUGUCUUCGGACCAAAGAUUUAUUGCCUUUGGAUGGGCCCGCGUUGGAUUAGCCAGUUGGUAGGGUAAAAGCCUGCCAAGGCGACGAUCCAUAGCUGGUCUGAGAGGAUGAUCAGCCACACUGGGACUGAGACACGGCCCAGACUCCUACGGGAGGCAGCAGUGGAGAAUAUUGGACGAUGGGCGAAAGCCUGAUCCAGCAAUGCCGCGUGAGUGAUGAAGGCCUUAGGGUUGUAAAGCUCUUUUACCCGGGAUGAUAAUGACAGUACCGGGAGAAUAAGCUCCGGCUAACUCCGUG
RNAcentral lists this ribosomal RNA (433 nucleotides) under uncultured bacterium. RNAcentral describes it as "partial 16S ribosomal RNA". It matches the Rfam family "Bacterial small subunit ribosomal RNA", at positions 29 to 507 of the family's 1533-position model. The record is from RNAcentral.